This 28-nucleotide small RNA is filed under the name Bombyx mori (domestic silkworm). RNAcentral describes it as "ovarian small RNA-30815". The record is from RNAcentral. Lineage: Eukaryota; Metazoa; Arthropoda; Insecta; Lepidoptera; Bombycidae.
UGAACUGAAGAAUAGGGUUCGUUCCAGA